CGAAACCGAAACCCCCUUUGCGAGAUUCGCUGCAUCUAUACCUGAUUUGCGUUCAAAAAUGCCUGCUUAAUUAUUUCAUAGUAAGAGCAAACAUGCCUUAAGAAAAGGAGUAGGUUUGAAACUUUAGUAACCAUAAAAAGUACGCCAGGUGGAUGCCUUUCUACUCCAGGAAGCCGCAGCCUACGGCCUGAAGGAGGAAGAGGACGCGGUCAGUUUGAAAUAGCUGAAUCGAUGACAUCCUGAAAGCAGCAAUACAAUUAAGCUGGGCCAGUUCUUCAGAUGAUCAGAGGGACUUCGCCAUCAUCACAUCCCUCAUUGCUGCAGUCAGACUGAAACAGGACGGUGAUGCAUGGCAGUCCAUGCCCGAGAUACGGAUGAUGAAGAGACCACAGCAAC
Danio rerio (zebrafish) is the source of this 396-nucleotide non-coding RNA. Lineage: Eukaryota; Metazoa; Chordata; Actinopteri; Cypriniformes; Danionidae. The record is from RefSeq and is a predicted model, not a curated record.